This is a long non-coding RNA of Meriones unguiculatus (Mongolian gerbil), 455 nucleotides long. RefSeq lists it as uncharacterized. NCBI's taxonomy places the organism in Eukaryota, Metazoa, Chordata, Mammalia, Rodentia, Muridae. The transcript is spliced from 3 exons. The record is from RefSeq and is a predicted model, not a curated record.
UUGAGAAGGAAGGUACGUAAGACAACAUGGAGAAGGAGAACACUUUUUCAUUCUGAGACAUGAGAUGAAUAGGAAGAGCUUUUUCCUCUGGGACUUGAACUGAGAACAAAAGACUUUAUCCUUCUGGGACAUUGUUGAAUUAAGGUCCUCUCACAUGGUAUAUGGAAGUGGGAUGCACUGUUCUGCUACUGAAUUUUUAUCAAGGUGACACAAGAUAGGGUCAUCUUGGAAGAAAGAAUCUCCAUCCUCCAUCAGACUGUCUUGUGGGCAAAUCUGCCGGAUAUUUUCCUAAUUCAAGAUGGAUGUGGUACAAGGUUACUGUAUUAUUCAAAUGCUGCCUUCUUUCCCCUCACAUCUGGAUGAAAUCCUUGUUCUGAGAAUCACCUGUCUUGAGGUUAUAUAAACUCUGCUCCUCAAUAGUCCCAGGUAUGCCAAUGAGUCUGCUGACAGCCAAC